Long non-coding RNA from Panicum virgatum (switchgrass), 495 nucleotides. RefSeq lists it as uncharacterized. The transcript is spliced from 3 exons. The record is from RefSeq and is a predicted model, not a curated record. NCBI's taxonomy places the organism in Eukaryota, Viridiplantae, Streptophyta, Magnoliopsida, Poales, Poaceae.
AUAAAUUUUUUUAUGUCUUGACUUCAACACCUUCACUUGAGCAUGCCAGCAUCAGUCUGUAUGGAUCCAGUUUAAACAAAUUAAUUUAACUGUGCACUCUCAUGGUUAUUUGCAGCCAAAUGUAUGAAACCAACAUGCUCAGUUUUUCUUAAAUGCUUUCAUUUUAUUCAUGCAGAAAAUUUUGAAGUCAGAUUCGUAGUGCAGAAUUUUGGAAAUCAGAACAACUAAACUACCCAAGGGUAAGGAUGUUUGGCUCGUGCGUUGGAGAUUGGGUCCAGAUGGAAGUAGGCAGGGAGCGCUGCCCGUGGGGGUAGGGAAAGGCACGGCUCAUGCAUGGAUGGAAGGAGGCAGGGAGCGCCCGGCCACCAUUGCCGGUGAGCCAUCGUAUGGCUACUUUCGCGCCGUGCCGACCCCUUCGAGAAGAUCGACAAGGAUGUUGCCAACUGCGUCCGCCCUCUCCGGUUCCACCACAAGUGUGUAUCUAUAGCAACAUGU